Molecule: ribosomal RNA, 281 nt
Filed under: uncultured Hyphomicrobiales bacterium
Lineage: Bacteria; Pseudomonadati; Pseudomonadota; Alphaproteobacteria; Hyphomicrobiales
Description: uncultured Rhizobiales bacterium partial 16S ribosomal RNA
Rfam family: Bacterial small subunit ribosomal RNA
Source: RNAcentral
CUUGUGCCAGCAGCCGCGGUAAUACGAAGGGGGCUAGCGUUGUUCGGAUUUACUGGGCGUAAAGCGCACGUAGGCGGACUAUUAAGUCAGGGGUGAAAUCCCGGGGCUCAACCCCGGAACUGCCUUUGAUACUGGUAGUCUCGAGUCCGGAAGAGGUGAGUGGAAUUCCGAGUGUAGAGGUGAAAUUCGUAGAUAUUCGGAGGAACACCAGUGGCGAAGGCGGCUCACUGGUCCGGUACUGACGCUGAGGUGCGAAAGCGUGGGGAGCAAACAGGAUUAGA